UGUUACAAGCUUCCCUUGUGCAGCAAAAACACCAAGUGUGUUACACUAAAUUCUUCUUCAAAAUGUGUUUGUAAAACUGGUUACUCUCAAGAUGGAUACCCAAAUUGUACUGAAAUCCAGUCUGAAGACAACCAGUCACUUUUCAGUCGGAUAAUCGACAAACAAAUCUCAGUGUACUGCAUCCAGUCAUCCACCUGAUUAAUCUGCUUUUCUAUUGAGUAAAUAAGCACUAUCGUAUCUUUUAAAAAUAUAGAGGAAAGCUUGCCACUUUUUGUGGUAACACUUUCGUCUUGUAGUAGCUGAUAGAAAGUUUAUAUUCAGUAUAUACUUGUCAAUCAGACGACAUGUAACGAAAAUUUACAUUAUACAAAGUUUGCUCAUUAUGUUGUAAGCAGAUAUUUCAUUCAUAUAUCUUGAAGCUUCCACUUUGUCCCUUUGGAAAUUAUAUUUCUUAUAGACAUAGACGAAUGCAAAGGAGAAAAACCAUGUCACUUAGAUGAGAUGUGUACCAAUGUACCAGGAUCAUAUGUGUGCUCAGGUCAAGUUCAAGUACGGAAACUAAACUGUUCGACUGAACGAAAUCUUUUGAAAAACACCAAUGGCAAUGCUAGGAUCAGUCUUGGGUUUCAGGCUUUCAGUAUUUUUUUAUCUUUAGCCGUCAUCAUUCGUGUUUGUAGAAAAACGCAUGGCUAGAAAUACUUAUUAUUUACACAUUUUUCAUUUAUACAAUUAAAGUCCAACUCAAUUUUCUUUUUUAUUCAUCAUUAUAUCUAACCAAGCUUAAUUAUAUAUUGUACAACCUACCAGCAAUAUCAUACAGAAUGUUAAAAUAAAUGAGUAUGGAUUAUAA
Xenia sp. Carnegie-2017 is the source of this 850-nucleotide long non-coding RNA. RefSeq lists it as uncharacterized. The transcript has 3 exons. NCBI's taxonomy places the organism in Eukaryota, Metazoa, Cnidaria, Anthozoa, Malacalcyonacea, Xeniidae. The record is from RefSeq and is a predicted model, not a curated record.